RNAcentral lists this microRNA (22 nucleotides) under Spodoptera frugiperda (fall armyworm). RNAcentral describes it as "sfr-miR-375-5p". Its record names the gene sfr-miR-375-5p. Lineage: Eukaryota; Metazoa; Arthropoda; Insecta; Lepidoptera; Noctuidae. The record is from miRBase by way of RNAcentral.
ACCCGAGCGGAUUGAGCAAACU